CUGCGAAACCGCCCUGCGCGGGCGGUCGUCGGGGCGUGGCGGCCUCGGCCUGAUGAGCAGCCAAAC
This 66-nucleotide non-coding RNA is filed under the name Solidesulfovibrio carbinolicus. The record is from RNAcentral. Lineage: Bacteria; Pseudomonadati; Thermodesulfobacteriota; Desulfovibrionia; Desulfovibrionales; Desulfovibrionaceae.